UACGUAGGGCGCAAGCGUUAUCCGGAAUGAUUGGGCGUAAAGCGUCCGCAGGUGGCUAUGUAAGUCUGCUGUUAAAGAGUGAGGCUCAACCUCAUAAGAGCAGUGGAAACUACAUGGCUAGAGUGCGUUCGGGGCAGAGGGAAUUCCUGGUGUAGCGGUGAAAUGCGUAGAGAUCAGGAAGAACACCGGUGGCGAAAGCGCUCUGCUAGGCCGCAACUGACACUGAGGGACGAAAGCUAGGGGAGCGAAUGGG
Molecule: ribosomal RNA, 253 nt
Filed under: uncultured bacterium
Lineage: Bacteria
Description: partial 16S ribosomal RNA
Rfam family: Bacterial small subunit ribosomal RNA
Source: RNAcentral